GACUACAUCUCUGCUUCUGAUGACCUUCUUCUUUACAGGAUCCCACAAUCUGUACCCGAACUCUUCAUCUCCGUAUGCGAUAAAUAUGCAGGGAACGGAUUUAUCAUCUAGCUUUGUUCUCUGCUCUUUCAGUACAUGUGCAAAAGCUCUGCAACCGAACACCUUUAGAUGCGAGUAGGACACUUCCUUACUGGUCCAUACUCUCUCUGGGAUGUCAAACGCCAAUGGAACUGACGGACUCCUAUUGAUCAGGUAACAGGUUGUUUGAACUGCUUCACCCCAGAAUGACUUAGGUAGUUUAGCCAUUCUGAGCAUGCUUCUCACCUUCUCCACAAUAGUGCGAUUCAUCCUCUCUACUACACCAUUGUGUUGCGGGGUUCCAGGAACUGUAUUUUCAUGUCUGAUCCUAUGACUUGAACAAUACUCUUCAAAUUCACUUGAAGUGUACUCACCUCCAUUGCCACUUCGGAGAAGCUUUAGCUUUUGAACUGUCUCCCUUUCUACUGGAGCAUGAAACUUCUGGAAAACUUGAAACACCUGAUCUUUGGUUUUCAAAAUACAAACCCACAAAUUAUUCUCAGAAAUUGAAGUAUACACAUGGAUCGUAAUAGGUCUUUAUGUAUGUUUGACUUUUCAUGAAUUAGUCAAACUUUAUGUACCACUGCCUUGGUGCCUGCUUCAAUCAAUAAAGACUCUUAUUCAAUUUGCACACCAUGUGUUUCUUUCCAGCUACUUCAAAUCCUUCUGGCUACUCCAUAUAAAUCUCUUCUUUCAAAUCUCCAUUUGCACACCAUGUAUUUCUUUCCAGCUACUUCAAAUCCUUCUGUCUGCUCCAUAUAAAUCCCUUCUUUCAAAUCUCCAUGAAGAAAUGCAGUUUUCACAUCCAACUGCUCCACUUCUAGAUCUAGGCUAGUUGAGCUCAAAAUUAUUCGAAUAGAAAUCAUUUUGACAAUAGGUGAGAAAAUUUCUUCAAAAUGAAUACCUUUCUUCUGUUCGAAGCCUUUAACCACCAAUCGAGCUUUGUAUCUGACCAACUUGUCAUUUCCAUCUUUCUCGAGUUUAAAGACCCAUUUGCAUUUGGGUGGUCUUUUACCCCUUGGAAGUUCAACCAGCUUGUACGUGCCAUUUUUCUGUAGAGAUUCCAUCUCUUCUUGCAUAGCUUUCAUUCACUGGUUCUUUUCUGGAUGGGACAACACCUCCUUAAGACUUUCUGGAUCCCCCUCAUCACUAAUGAGGACAUACUCUUUGGAAGGGUACCUGCAUGACUCUACCCUUGGCCUCUCUGAUCUCCUCAGAGGUUGAGGUUGUUCUUCUUCCCGAGUGGGGUGCUCCACUUCCUCGACACAUUCAUCAAGUUGCUCUCCCUGCUCAAUAACCUCACCAGGUUGCUCCCCCUGCUCUGCAACCUCGUCGGUCGUACUUUCUGCACUUGUGGGAUUGUUAGAAAUAGAAGGAAUAGUUACAAGGUUAGGAAUUAUACCAUUCUUCGCCUUUUCAAACAUAUCAGCAGCAAUUCCAACUUCACUUUCUCGGAAGACUACAUCUCUGCUUCUGAUGACCUUCUUCUUUACAGGAUCCCACAAUCUGUACCCG
Molecule: long non-coding RNA, 1593 nt
Filed under: Nicotiana benthamiana
Lineage: Eukaryota; Viridiplantae; Streptophyta; Magnoliopsida; Solanales; Solanaceae
Description: long non-coding RNA (NBEN_LNC034445)
Source: RNAcentral